RNAcentral lists this transfer RNA (84 nucleotides) under Parcubacteria group bacterium RIFCSPHIGHO2_01_FULL_45_26. RNAcentral's name for it is "tRNA-Leu". It matches the Rfam family "tRNA". From Rfam's summary of the family: Transfer RNA (tRNA) molecules are approximately 80 nucleotides in length. Their secondary structure includes four short double-helical elements and three loops (D, anti-codon, and T loops). Further hydrogen bonds mediate the characteristic L-shaped molecular structure. tRNAs have two regions of fundamental functional importance: the anti-codon, which is responsible for specific mRNA codon recognition, and the 3' end, to which the tRNAs corresponding amino acid is attached (by aminoacyl-tRNA synthetases). tRNAs cope with the degeneracy of the genetic code in two manners: having more than one tRNA (with a specific anti-codon) for a particular amino acid; and 'wobble' base-pairing, i.e. permitting non-standard base-pairing at the 3rd anti-codon position. The record is from RNAcentral.
GCCGAGGUGGCGGAACUGGCAGACGCACUGGCUUUAGGAGCCAGCGAUCGUGAGAUCAUGGGAGUUCAAAUCUCCCCCUCGGCA